Molecule: long non-coding RNA, 1137 nt
Organism: Cyprinus carpio carpio
Lineage: Eukaryota; Metazoa; Chordata; Actinopteri; Cypriniformes; Cyprinidae
Source: Ensembl
GAAGAGGGAAAUGGCCAAGGAGGCGAUAAGAGAGAGACAGGUGACCAGAGAGAGAGAGAGAAGGAGGCGACAGAGGAGGUACAGAAAUUGUAGAAGGAGAGAGAGGAGGUGACAGAGGAGGUACAGCAAUUGAAGAAGGAGAGAGAGGAGGUGACAGAGGAGGUACAGCAAUUGAAGAAGGAGAAAGAGGAGGAGGCGACAGAGGGUCAGGUGACCAAAGUGAGGGAGAGAGAGCACAGAGACGGGCAGCGCAGGAGGUGCAGAUGACCAGAGGGUCACAUGAUGAGGGCAGCAGUCAGGCAAAUGAGCAGGAUAUUGAGCCCCAUGUCAGGGACCAGUCGAACACCGACAACAGGGACAGAGAGGGAUUUGAUGUUUCAGACAUCAUCACCUGCACAGCCUGAUCCUAAGUUUAUGGUAGUGCAGAAGCGAGCUAACUGUGUGUUGUCUUUUCAACAAAAAUGGUUCACAACUUUUCCUUGGUUGCAUAACAGUGCCACUUUACAAGGGGUCAUAUGUUUUUACUGUGCCAAGGUUUUUUUGAAUCAGUCAACAUUUGCAAGCAAGUGUAACCCUGCCUUUGUAAGUGUAGGCUUUAGAAAUUGGAAAAAAGGCUAUCCAGAAGUUCUCAGAGCAUGCAAAAAGUCAGUUGCAUAUCCAUGCCAUGAACAUCUGUGCACAAAAAGGUAACACUGUGGCUUCACAGCUUUCUUCAGCUGUUGCCAGACAACAGGAGGAAGCAAGGUAUGGAUUGAGGAAAGAAUGUAGGCUCCAUCAAAUACUUAGCUAGGCAAGGUUUAGCUCUACAAGGUCAUGUGGAAGAGAAGGGUAAUCUAUCCCAACAUCUGAAAGAUAAGGAAGAAGAUGACCCUGCUUUUCAGAAGUGGUUAGUGACACACAAGCAGGAUUACACAAGUCCUCUCAUUCAAAACGAAAUACUAGGCAUAAUGAGCAAAGGCAUUAUAAGAGGAAUAGCUGACACUAUUCGAUGCCUCCCAGUCACACAGUUUGCCUUGAUUGUUCAUGGGACACAAGACACAUCAGGUCAAGAACAAGAAUCUGUAUGUCUUCGUUAUGUGGAUCAUGACUUAAUCCUCAUGAGGAAUUCAUUGGGAUGUAUUCAGUGCCUGAGACCAC